GAUGAACGCUGGCGGCGUGCCUAAUACAUGCAAGUCGAGCGAACAUACGAGGCUCUUGCUUCUCUGACGUUACCGGCGGACGGGUGAGUCAUACGUGGCUUACCUAUCUCUAAGACUUGGAUAACUUCGGGAAACCUGAGCUCAUACCGGAUAAUAUAUUGAACCUCAUGGUUCAAUAGUGUAAGACGGUUUUGCUGUUACUCAUACAUGGAUCCGCGCCGCAUUAGCUAGUUGGUAAGGUAACGGCUUACCAAGGCAACGAUGCGUAGCCGAGCUGAGAGGGUGAUCGGCCACACUGGAACUGAGACACGGUCCAGACUCCUACGGGAGGCAGCAGUAGGGAAUCUUACGCAAUGGGAGAAAGCUUGACGGAGCAAAGCCGCGUGAGUGAUGAAGGUCUUCGGAUCGUAAAACUCUGUUAUUAGGGAAGAACAAAUGUGUAAGUAACUAUGCACGUCUUGACGGUACCUAAACAGAAAGCCACGGCUAACUACGUG
This 497-nucleotide ribosomal RNA is filed under the name uncultured bacterium. RNAcentral's name for it is "partial 16S ribosomal RNA". It matches the Rfam family "Bacterial small subunit ribosomal RNA", at positions 28 to 507 of the family's 1533-position model. The record is from RNAcentral.